AGUCAUAUGCUUGUCUCAAAGACUAAGCCAUGCAUGUCUAAGUAUAAAUGAUAUACAGUAAAACUGCGAAUGGCUCAUUAAAACAGUUAUAGUUUAUUUGGUAAUCGAAUUUACAUGGAUAACCGUGGUAAUUCUAGAGCUAAUACAUGCUGUUAAGCCCGACUUUUGGGAAGGGCUGUAUUUAUUAGAUAACAGACCAAUAUUCCUCGUGACUAUUGUGGUGACUCAUAGUAACUGAUCGGAUCGCAUGGGCUUGCCCGCGACAAACCAUUCAAGUUUCUGCCCCAUCAGCUUUCGAUGGUAGUGUAUUGGACUACCAUGGCUUUUACGGGUAACGGAGGAUUAGGGUUCGAUUCCGGAGAGGGAGCCUGAGAAACGGCUACCACAUCUAAGGAAGGCAGCAGGCGCGUAAAUUACCCAAUACUGACUCAGUGAGGUAGUGACAAGAAAUAACGGGCCGGGGAUUUCCCCGGGACUGAAAUGAGUUUAAUUUAAACCCCUUUUCGAGGAUCCAU
Molecule: ribosomal RNA, 515 nt
Filed under: uncultured marine eukaryote
Lineage: Eukaryota
Description: SSU rRNA
Rfam family: Eukaryotic small subunit ribosomal RNA
Source: RNAcentral